Molecule: ribosomal RNA, 476 nt
Filed under: uncultured bacterium
Lineage: Bacteria
Description: partial 16S ribosomal RNA
Rfam family: Bacterial small subunit ribosomal RNA
Source: RNAcentral
GAUGAACGCUGGCGGCGUGCUUAACACAUGCAAGUCGAGCGAGUGAGUUCUUCGGAACGAUCUAGCGGCGGACGGGUGAGUAACACGUGGGCAACCUGCCUCAUAGAGGGGAAUAGCCUCCCGAAAGGGAGAUUAAUACCGCAUAACAUCGUUGAAGGGCAUCCUUCGAUGAUCAAAGGAGCAAUCCGCUAUGAGAUGGGCCCGCGGCGCAUUAGCUAGUUGGUGAGGUAACGGCUCACCAAGGCGACGAUGCGUAGCCGACCUGAGAGGGUGAUCGGCCACAUUGGGACUGAGACACGGCCCAGACUCCGACGGGAGGCAGCAGUGGGGAGUAUUGCACAAUGGGGGAAACCCUGAUGCAGCAACGCCGCGUGAGUGAUGACGGCCUUCGGGUUGUAAAGCUCUGUCUUUGGGGACGAUAAUGACGGUACCCAAGGAGGAAGUCACGGCUAACUACGUGCCAGCCGCCGCGGUAA